RNAcentral lists this microRNA precursor (60 nucleotides) under Octodon degus (degu). RNAcentral's name for it is "miRNA (ENSODEG00000021917.1)". Lineage: Eukaryota; Metazoa; Chordata; Mammalia; Rodentia; Octodontidae. The record is from RNAcentral.
GGGCUUUGUGAUGUAGGCAAGUGUUCUACCACUGAGCUACAUUGCCAGCCCAUCUCACCA